RNAcentral lists this ribosomal RNA (484 nucleotides) under uncultured bacterium. RNAcentral describes it as "partial 16S ribosomal RNA". It matches the Rfam family "Bacterial small subunit ribosomal RNA", at positions 29 to 507 of the family's 1533-position model. The record is from RNAcentral.
AUUGAACGCUGGCGGCAUGCUUUACACAUGCAAGUCGAACGGCAGCGCGGGCUUCGGCCUGGCGGCGAGUGGCGAACGGGUGAGUAAUGCAUCGGAACGUGCCCAGUAGUGGGGGAUAGCCCGGCGAAAUCCGGAUUAAUACCGCAUACGACCUGAGGGGGAAAGCGGGGGACCGAAAGGCCUCGCGCUAUUGGAGCGGCCGAUGUCGGAUUAGCUAGUUGGUGGGGUAAAGGCUUACCAAGGCGACGAUCCGUAGCUGGUCUGAGAGGACGACCAGCCACACUGGGACUGAGAGACGGCCCAGACUCCUAAGGGAGGCAGCAGUGGGGAAUUUUGGACAAUGGGGGCAACCCUGAUCCAGCCAUGCAGAGUGCGGGAAGAAGGCCUUCGGGUUGUAAACCGCUUUUGUUCGGGAAGAAAUCCUCUGGGCUAAUACCACGGGGGGAUGAGGGUACCGGAAGAAUAAGCACGGGCUAACUACGUG